GGCUGGUCUGAAAAUAGUGAGUUAUGUCAAUUGAUUGUUCACAGUCAGUCACAGAUCAAAUUCCUUGUUCCCCCUUCUUACUAAUAUACUUGACUACUCUGAA
Y RNA from Callithrix jacchus (white-tufted-ear marmoset), 103 nucleotides. It matches the Rfam family "Y RNA". Rfam says of the family: Y RNAs are components of the Ro ribonucleoprotein particle (Ro RNP), in association with Ro60 and La proteins. The Y RNAs and Ro60 and La proteins are well conserved, but the function of the Ro RNP is not known. The record is from Ensembl. NCBI's taxonomy places the organism in Eukaryota, Metazoa, Chordata, Mammalia, Primates, Cebidae.